AUAAACAUCAUACGACUACUUACAUGUUAAAGGUAUAUUAGUACAUAUAUAGUAAAUGAAACAAUUGUCCAAAAGAGGAAAAAACAAAUGCAAAUAAUAUCAUCUUGUAAAAGCUGAUAGUAAGAGGAGAUCGAUCCCAAUCUUCUAUAGAACGUGAUUUUCCGCCAAUACCCAUGAAGGAGGGUGAGAACACUUCAAUGAUUUUACCAAUGUAUAUAAUUUUAAGCUCCCGUGCCAAUAAUAAUACAAUAGAUCAUAAAGACUAAAAUUAAUAAAUAUUUAAGAGAGGAAAGACUUAUGUCAGCCAGAGUGUUAAAAUCCAUAUAAAACAAGACUAUUAUAAUUCGUGAAUUCUCCCAUGAGUUAAUAUAUUUAACUAAAAUCAAUGUGAAUAAAUAUGUUGUUGCAUACAAUGAUCAUUUGCCUCAUUGAAAAAGAG
RNAcentral lists this long non-coding RNA (439 nucleotides) under Vigna radiata. RNAcentral's name for it is "long non-coding RNA (VRAD_LNC009375)". The record is from RNAcentral. Lineage: Eukaryota; Viridiplantae; Streptophyta; Magnoliopsida; Fabales; Fabaceae.